This 120-nucleotide ribosomal RNA is filed under the name uncultured bacterium. Its description in RNAcentral is "partial 16S ribosomal RNA". It matches the Rfam family "Bacterial small subunit ribosomal RNA", at positions 1355 to 1482 of the family's 1533-position model. The record is from RNAcentral.
UGACGCGGUGAAUACGUUCCCGGGCCUUGUACACACCGCCCGUCAAGCCAUGGAAGUUGGGGGUACCGUAAAGUACGUAACCGCAAGGAGCGUCCUAGGGUAAAACCGAUAACUGGGGCU